UGAAACCAGAGAUUAAAUGGUCCAAAGCAGGAAAUUUGGUGUGUUGGGAAUUAGGACAAAGUAAUGAGGGGGAUGAGCUAUUUCAGCCUUCCUUCUUAUUUAUUUAUUUGUUUUUAAAGAGACUGCAAAAAGAGAGACUUUGGGAGUCUGGAAACUGACUGGAAGAUGGGUGGACUUGGAAAGUGGGAGCGUUAUCACAAUGCCAUCCUGCACUGACUCUGGGGACCCCAGCAUCCACCAUGAUACCUUUGGGUUUUCAUUGUUCUGAUUCUGAAAGACAUCCUGAUCAGAACAGUCCAUUGAGAGGGAACUGAUGACAUUGCCACCUUCAGGUCAAUCCACAACACCAUCUGGAAUGUGAUACUUGCAUUCCUCCUUUUGUGUCCUUUUCCUUCCACACCUUAUUUCUUCUCUCUUUUUUGGGGGGCGGGGGGGGCUUCUGUUUAAUAAGAAUCUGCAGUCUGCCAAGACUUUUGCAACAUGCUGCAAGCCCAUGACCAGAGAGUCAGCUAAAAGCAAUGCCCUGAACAGCCCCAUGCUGACACAAGUUUUCCAGGACUUGGAGUGGCUGAUCAGACCAGUAUUUGCUGUGCCAGUAUUUCUCCAAUAGCGAGGUUGCAAGUGAAAGCAAGCACCAGAGACAGAAGGUAUAAGUUCUAAUCUUUGCUUUUUUUUUUUGGUCCGUCUUAACUCCAGAUCAUAGAAAUGUAGGACUGAAAGGGACCUCAAUAGGUCUUCUAGUCUAGUGCCCUGCACUAAAGGCAGGACUAAGUAUUAUCUAGACCAUCCCUGACAGGUGUUUGUCUAACC
Dermochelys coriacea (leatherback sea turtle) is the source of this 810-nucleotide long non-coding RNA. RefSeq lists it as uncharacterized. The transcript has 2 exons. The record is from RefSeq and is a predicted model, not a curated record. NCBI's taxonomy places the organism in Eukaryota, Metazoa, Chordata, Testudines, Dermochelyidae.